This 117-nucleotide ribosomal RNA is filed under the name Castor canadensis (American beaver). Lineage: Eukaryota; Metazoa; Chordata; Mammalia; Rodentia; Castoridae. The record is from RNAcentral.
GUCUACAGCCAUCCACCCUAAACGUGUCCAAUCUCAUCUGGUCUCAGAAGCUAAGCAGGGUUGGGCCUGGUUAUUACUCAGAUGGAAGACAAAUCUUCAAAAGAGACUGCUUAGAGA